Molecule: ribosomal RNA, 253 nt
Filed under: uncultured bacterium
Lineage: Bacteria
Description: partial 16S ribosomal RNA
Rfam family: Bacterial small subunit ribosomal RNA
Source: RNAcentral
UACAUAGGUCUCGAGCGUUGUUCGGAUUCAUUGGGCUUAAAGGGUGCGUAGGUGGCGCUGUAAGUCGGGUGUGAAAUCCUGGGGCUUAACCCCGGAACUGCAUUCGAUACUGCAGUGCUUGAGGACUGGAGAGGAGACUGGAAUUCAUGGUGUAGCGGUGAAAUGCGCAGAUAUCAGGAGGAACACCGGUGGCGAAGGCGGGUCUCUGGGCAGUAACUUACGCUGAGGAGCGAAAGCGUGGGGAGCAAACAGG